UUUGUUCAUUGUUCAUAUAUAUAGAUACAUUCAAAUACAAGCUACCCAUCACUCCCUCAUCACAUUGAUCUGGCAUAAGUCUCUCUAGAAACCCUAGCCGUCGACCUCUACCACAGGUGAUUACAUCAUCUUGACAAAAAACUCAGCCUUUGGCCUCCUGCUACGUCGCCGAUUGCCGCUUUGCCUCAACCACCAUCAUUGUUCACCACUGCAUACAUACUCAAUCAUCUGGUCGAUUAUCUCUCUACACCCAACAAUCUGUUUGUUGCCUGUUCCACUCAAUCAAGAUUUUUUAAGUCAAAAUCCACCUUCAGAAUCGCACACAUUCAACCAAACGAUUACGACUUCUAUGGGAGUUAAAAGGGAGAACGAUCAAACAGAUGGAGACAUGUUUUCUACUUUCAAUCCCAUCGCCGCCCCAGGAAGAACGGGCGAUUCGUUUUUUUUAAAUCAAAACUUAUCAUAUCGUGAUUUGGGGAGAAACGUAGACAAAAUCAUCUACUUGAACGACUUCACUAGCGGGGCAACAUCAUCUCUUCAAUUUGAUUAUUGAAAAUGAACCUUCGUGAUUUAAGGAUAGAGGUAUUUUUUUUUUAAAUUUCUUUAUCUUCAUCUAUUUAUCCAACCGUGUUUCUAUUUGGUUCAAACAUUAGCAUCCAUUGGAAGAUGCUUGGCAUUGAAAUUUCUUAACACCACCGUGAAUCGAAGCCUAAUCGAAGUUGCUACCACCACCUUCAACACCAAUUAACGCAACCACCACUACCACCUCUACGCUCAUCCUUCUCUCUUCCCUAUUUUAUCACUCGAUGUCGAAGGUAAGCAAUUGUUCUGUCUUUCUUUCACUCUCAACACCGAUAUUAAGGUAAGCAAUUGCUCACAUCUAUCUUGUAAUUUUUUCCUGGAGCAUACGGACAAAGAGAUUUGUCAACACCAAAGAUCUUGUAAGUUUCUCAUCUAAUAUAUUCAUAAGAAAAACUUAUGCCAUGUAUCUGAUGAAAAUUUAGAUGUAUUUCUAUUCAUUUCGUACAUAAAAUUUUGAUUGGGUUGAUUUGGGUCGUUAGGGUUUCCUAUUUAUAUAAUAGGUUGUAUUAACUAUUAUCAUAUUAACUUUUUUGUUGAUUGGAUAGUUGUUUUGCUUUUAAGAUAUAUUUGACUCAUUUGCCAUUGUCCUCUUAACCAAUUUCUAUAAAUCCGACUUUUUUGUUUAAUUUUCUUUUCAUACUACUGACUCAGUAUCUACAACAGAGCCUACACAGAGCUUCAUGGAUAGUGGCAAUAGCUGAAACCCCCAAGAUUACAUUGAAAGAUGCUUCUCAAAGGAGGUAACAUAG
RNAcentral lists this long non-coding RNA (1331 nucleotides) under Lactuca sativa (garden lettuce). Its description in RNAcentral is "long non-coding RNA (LSAT_LNC003306)". Lineage: Eukaryota; Viridiplantae; Streptophyta; Magnoliopsida; Asterales; Asteraceae. The record is from RNAcentral.